Molecule: long non-coding RNA, 319 nt
Organism: Rhipicephalus sanguineus (brown dog tick)
Lineage: Eukaryota; Metazoa; Arthropoda; Arachnida; Ixodida; Ixodidae
Exons: 3
Source: RefSeq, a predicted model, not a curated record
UCUAGACGCCGUUUUCGAUGCUUCCUUCAAAGGUCCCAGCGUUUUUCUUCUUCGUAGUUAUUAUUAUGGCAAUGACCGAGGCUUCCGCCGAAUGGCCAUAUUAUGAUACAGACGACGUUUGCGUGGGUCAAAGCUGUUCUUCUGAUGGAAGCAAUGGUUAUCCGCCUUGCCCUGUAGAAUGCAGCUGCAUGCCAGGCCGUAAUCGCGACGGGAAUGGUGUAAGAGUAGGCUAUUGCGCCUGACAGCCUGCUUUGACAUAACGCUGAAUAGAGUAAAUAAUAAAAAGGAUUCUUGAUUCGUCGUUCUCAGGAACGAAUCA